GUUGGAAACUGCUGGCCGCCGUGUGUCGCUGUUAGGCGCCGCCUAGUGGUUCCGUCGCUCAUACCCGCCUCACUGACUUCUCUUCUAGAGGCUCAGUUUGCGGCAGUUCAAAACGAAAUUUUUCAGCCGGUUAUAACCGGCAAGUUUGUCCUUUUUGUUAUUCAUGAAUGCCGCUUGUUUUCAUUCUUCCUUCCUCGCUCCCAAAAAGAGCGCUUUUCACGUACUACCGAGCUGACACAUGUCGACCCUAGCACGUCUCUUUCGUUCUGUCAUUUUACCAGUUUGCGAGUGACUCGGUGGGAAGGGUGAGCGACUCGUUGUUUGUUGACCCGCCCCAUCCCUGCAGUUGCUAUUUCGCACGUAGUGAUACUCAGCGUCGGCUUUCUAUCACGAUAAAGCCGUGUGGUGCCGGAGCUAAAGAACACUCACGUUUCUUUUAUACUGCUCCGUAGAUGACCUGUAUCGGUCUGCCAGCGACCACUACGGUAAGUGGCGGCAUCCUGGCGCCGGCCGUUCGCGGUCUCGAUAACUGGCUACUAACCGCUGGUGGCUUAUGGUCGAUUUCGGCUCACAAUUGCUAAUGUGAGGUCUUUCAAUUAGUUCCGUCGCUGCUGUCUUCGUCCGCAGCGCCCUCUGUAAACAAAGCCCACAUAGCAGUCAGCUGCAAAUAAAACGAACGGUGGCGCCAGCACUAGCAGUAGCGCCCGGAGCAUAACAGCCUGGGUAAAGACCCCGACCGACUAACUGCGCACUUUCUUCUCGACUAAAUUGGCUGCGCGCUAUUGCCGGUAUAUAGGCUCACGGUGCCACGGGCGUAGAGCAGCAGUAAUACGCUUGUCCGAGUUGGCUGUUUAGCUGGCUACUCAAUGGCAGGGGCUCUACCAGAGGCUGGAAGAUGGAACACAUUAACAGUGUGAGAAGGGACUACCCUCGCUGGCGGAGGCGCCAGCAGCAGUAGCAGCAUCACGGUGACGAGCUUUGCGUCGUUUUUGGCCGGGUACGGCGGUGAGUCAACGAGACGUGUGAUACAAGCCGAUAUACAAACACAGAUAGAGGAACACAUACAUACGAACCAUACAGAGAUGCAGAUAGAUUGCCAGUGAGGAUCAAACAGCGCCUGUUGUCGCGACAUCCGUGUUUCAGUUUGCCGCGAACUAGCAGCGGAUACACACGCGCGUGGCUUGAUACUGUUUAUUGCACUCUUUUUGGACACUAACGACGAGGAAAAAUAAUAGGAAGUCUAACCAGGAGAAGAAACAACGGUUCUUGCGCGAAGCAUCAGGGAGCCAAAGGCUGUCGUGUUGGCUGGUAAGACACGUCGUAUGUGCUUAACUUGUCAGCAGCAAAAGGGAUCCGCUUUUGAGUUCUCGAACAUUCUUGUACAACCUAUUCGCGAGUGCUUACCUAUUGGGCAGAUUAUGUGGAGCUCGCUAGCCGGCGGACUAGAAGACCAGAAGGUGCACGAGGCAUAUGAAUGCCUUUUCAUCUUAUUAUUGUCGCUGGCUACAAUCACUUUACAUGAAUGAAGCUUCAAAGCGGUUAUCUCCGUCUUUUGAUGAUUUCCGAUAUUUUUAGUUCGUGCAGAGCUGACAUUAUGCUCCUGUACAACGCACUGGCUGUUGUUGAUUUGAUGAUCGAUGCUUAAUACGCGUUAAGCAAGGAAAAAUCGAUUUCACUCAUUGAAGAACAUCGUUUAACAUCCGCCCAACUAUAGACCAUAUUACGUAUUUGUACAAAGAAAAACGUCUUCGUUGUGCGACAAGCCCAAUAUCAACUUAUCGACGUGUACGAAAUCACCUUAACGUGUCGUGAUGUCAAGCCCAAAUAGCGCAAACGAUAUAAAAGGUGGAAUGAUUUCCAGCAUGAUCCGAAGACAUUCUGCCGACGACGCUGCGCGAGGAAGCUUUUUCUUCCGGAGCUUUACCGACACCCGAGAUCGGCAGCGCACUGUAUCUGAAGUCGUCCCGGAACACUCCACAGUGGGUCCCAGCGAGACAUCGCAAAAGGAAAGGCGAAUUUCUGUGAUGUCGCUGAGUCCUAUAUAAACAAAUUAUGGGCACCUUUAAAGACCACCUCUCUACAGUGCCGCGACAUGGACUCAAUCGGCCAACAUCGCUAGCUGCUUCAGGUGACACCGGGCGAGACGGAGCUAUUGUUUGCCACCAUUACCGCCAUUAUACUACCGAACCGGCGAACAUUGCGAUAGGUCUAGAGAUCCUCGACAAAUGACACUCGCGUGCAAACGGUCCAUUCCUUCAUGUCAAAUAAGCGACUCCGAAUUUUCACGUGUCGCAGAAGUUGGAGAUGAUGCCCAGUGAGUGCGAAGGAGAUUUGGAUCAUUAGUGGAGAGGAAACCCUUUGAAAGGAGUAAGAAAAUCGCUACGCUCAUUCCCUAACAAAGACCGCAGUGACAAAAAAAAAAACUCAAGAAAACCCAGAUUAUGUCAAACAGUUGAAAUAUGGCAUGCUAUUGGACUCGACUAUUAUUUGACCCGCAGGUCUAAACAUUUAAAGAAAAUUUUCUCUAGAGGAAGGAAUUAAGCAUGACAUCAUAGUGGUAAUAACUACACUACUUCGACCCCCACCAUUAGCGUUUUCUCUAAUUGGCAAAAAUAUAUUGCCAAAGAUCAGGAAAAGAUGAUAAAAAGAUAAAGUUUUUAACCAGUCAGUAGCCAGUAGGAAUCCGAAGAUAGGAUAAAAGUCGUAGAGCUCAUAUACAACUGAAGCAUAAUGAUUAUAAAUGUGAUAAUAGCACCUUCGGGUGAGAUGGCCUUAAUACCUAUCGGUGUUACAAAGCUGUGGAAAAAUUGUACAGCGAAAACAGACAAAAGGGAACAGAUGGAAGAAGCUUGUUCAUAUCAUAAAGCAGCAUAAUACCUAUUUUCCCACACACACUUGAUAACAUGGUGCAAAUGACGAAAACAACCAUGUCUUACCGAGGUCGUCGAUAGGAAUCGUCUUGAACAAAUUGAUGAGAAAAUGGGGUUCUUCCUGUAUCUUGACUGGAGUACAGAUUAUAAAAAAAAAAAACAAUUCUGUUGAUGACACUUAAAUUAGUCGAUGGCUUACCUGAUAAGUAACGUAGUCCAGCCGAUAGCGGUUAUCUAAAGUGCAUCACAAAUAACUUCAAAUACAGUUGCAGCGCUUUUGCGAUUGUUCCCGCUAGAUGCCUGUCUAACCAUUGUUAGCGUCAGUUGAUCACAUUCUCACUCAACCUAAAAUAGUAUUGCAUGUUGCAUACACAAGUAAUCCCUAUCCUGUGUAAAGAUAGAGUGGUUUGCUUGGCCAUAGUUUCUGACCAGCAAAAGGAGAUCCAUGUAUAUAUAUAUAUGUAUUUAUACAUAUAUCAUUAGAUUACUUAACAGGAGGUAGCCAACGGUAAAUAUGAGAUGAGGUGUCGUCGUGCGAGAACGGCGGUGGAUGACAUGCAGAUCGUCUGAAUCGAACUCUUCUAGAUAACGUUGUAGCUUAACCAUACCACCGUACGCCUAAAUAUAUACAAACACUAUUUAUUUUUGGAAGGCAAUUGAUAACGGAAAGUGAAGCUGAUUUCUGAGCACUAUUUCUGAGCACUGUUCGUCGUCGCAAAACAUGGUCUGCGGGUGCUUCCGAAAGAUUGAUUCCUUCAAAUUCAGUGACCCGGUGCAACGCGCCGAACGGUAGGCAGAAAACAGUAAUAAAACAGAUACCCUUUCCCAUUGACUCAUGGAAAGGGAUACAAGAUUUGCUCGAAUGUUAAGACAAAAACCUACAUGAUAUUUUUAAAACAAUGUGUGUAAACUAACAGGAAAUAGGCUAAAGCAAACGGCUCCAAGGAAGAUAGAAAGUUGAUGGGUAAUUAGAAAUCUUAACCAUGGAUGUCUGUACGACGGGCACGUCCAUUGUGCCCGUUUUCUCGAAAGAGAUCGAUCGAUUGAUUUUUCGAGAGAAAUCAGUUCAAAAAAAAAAACAGUCGAUAACUUAAGGACAUACAGCUUAGGGAAAAAUACAUUUUCUAAUAAGAUCAGAUAAGUAGAGAGAGAGAGAAGCUGAAACACCGUAUAACAUGUUAGAUAGUUGGGCAAAGGUACGAUACAAACCGAUAAGUGUGGUUUCAUGAUUGCUUCAACAACAAGUUAGUGCUCUACGCAAAUGAUACUAAUAAAAAAAAAGGCGCGUAAAGCGAUUGGUGGA
This 4173-nucleotide long non-coding RNA is filed under the name Varroa destructor (honeybee mite). Its description in RNAcentral is "uncharacterized LOC111243855, transcript variant X1". The record is from RNAcentral. Lineage: Eukaryota; Metazoa; Arthropoda; Arachnida; Mesostigmata; Varroidae.